RNAcentral lists this transfer RNA (87 nucleotides) under Acetivibrio saccincola. RNAcentral's name for it is "Hungateiclostridium saccincola tRNA-Leu". It matches the Rfam family "tRNA". Rfam says of the family: Transfer RNA (tRNA) molecules are approximately 80 nucleotides in length. Their secondary structure includes four short double-helical elements and three loops (D, anti-codon, and T loops). Lineage: Bacteria; Bacillati; Bacillota; Clostridia; Acetivibrionales; Acetivibrionaceae. The record is from RNAcentral.
GCCGAAGUGGUGGAAUUGGCAGACGCACUGGACUCAAAAUCCAGCGGUAGCAAUACCAUGUCGGUUCGAGUCCGACCUUCGGCACCA